GUUUGCUUCUAGGUUUGGUAAGCUGGUAAUGAGAAUGUCUGUUAUUUUGUUUAACUGCUUUGCCCACUCCAUUUUCUCCCUAAAAUCUUCCCAUUGAAAAGGUGCUGAAGUCAAGAUGGCUUCCAGGGCCAGCAGACCUGCAGUCCGUGCAGGAAGCGGGACACCAACUGUAGCGAAUGAAGAUAGCAGGCUGAGCAGACAGGGACCCUGAAGGACGGUCAUACAUGGCACGACGACACGUGGCUAAUGACAGGCUGCGUAUAUGACGGUGAUCCUGUAAGAUAGGACUCCCCUACCACCCCCACCCCGGGCAAAGGACUGGUGGCCCAAGGCCUGUUAGGAACCGGCGGCAGAGCAGGAGAAAUCUACCAUAAGGAAGAGAUAUCCCUUCUGCUGCUUGUAGGCAUGUAUGUAUGUAUGAAGUAUAUAUGUAUUCAUUCAUUCCCUUAUUCAUUUAUAUUAUUAGUGUGGGUUCAUGAGUAUCUGUUUUAUCCUAUGAAUUACUAAUUACUAUUGCUUAUUUUGUUGCACAAGUUGUCCCAGGCUGGGUCGCUGGCAGCUUCUUUAAGCUGCCUCUUGUUUCUUUCAGUAUUUCCUAAUUAUUUUCUGGGCACUUCUUUAAUUUCUGGCAUUGUAAGAUGCUCCAACCUAAUCUUGCAUCUUCCCACCAUAGCAUUGGAAUUAAUCAUUUUCUAAGGAGCCCUGGUUUCUUUGAAAAUUCAUAUUUAGGAACCAAUAGCUGCACUCCAGAUAGGCUCAUUGCUAUGGGGAUGUCAUUGCUUCUGGUCCACCUGGGCAGAUGGAGUUAAGGAAAAAAAAUAUAUAUAUAUGUACAUAUUUUAUAUAUAUACACGCAUACAUACAAGCACGCCUAUGUGUGUUUCCAUAUGUAUCUAUAUACACGUAAUAUAAGAUUAGUUAUACGUAUAUUAACCUUAAGUUGAUGUUGAUAUCUGUCACUCAUCCUAUCCUCCCCUUUUCCUUAUUUGUAAUUUCUUUUUCUUCUUUUUUUUAUUUUUGAGACAGGGUCUCUCUUGCCCUGCCCUGGCUGUGACAUGAUCACAGCCCACUCAACCUCCUGGGCUCAAGCAAUUCUUGCAGGGUCUACAGGUAUAUGAUACUACGCUGGGCAAUUUUUAAAUAUUUUGUAGAGUCAAGGUCUCGCCAUAUUGCCCAGGCAGGUCUCAACCUCCUGGGCUCAAGCGAUCUCCCUCCACCUUGGCCUCCUGAAGUGCUGGGAUUACAGGCAUGAGCCACUGCCCUGGGCCUAUAACUUCUUUUUCCAACAAUGAGAAAUCUGGCCCUCUUCACCAUGGUCUAUUUUCUUAUUUGCUUAGUCCUAGACACAAAGUAGUUUCAGAAUUUCUCACCAUACUCCUGUGGAAAACACAUUUCCUGAUGAGAGUAAAAUAUUUGUGUAUAUCUGUUUCUGGCUUUUUUUGUCUUUAGCUUUACAAUGUACAGUCAAUAUUCUGUUUUCCAAAUUCAUAGAGUUUGGCGAUUUUCUUCCCCAUGCCUCAGUGUAGUUGUGUUAUCUAUUGAUAAUUGAGUUAGGUUCAUUUUGUACUGUUUGCAUUCUAUUUUGGGUUCCCUCAUCACAGUUGAUUUUAAAUGUUAAUUUGGGUGGGAGGAAUAUGGAAGAGCAUUGUUCUGAGAACCAUAAUUAUAUCAAAAGCUACACCCAGAAGUAUCACUUUCCCCUUUCUCUUCUCAUUCUCUCCUCUCAUUCUUUCCACCCCAAUUCCCACCCAUGCCCUCUAGGUAAAUAAUCUCAUUAAUUUCUCGUUUCUACUUGUUUCUUUUGCACAAGACAGCUGAUACAUGUAUACUUUCCCACAUCUCCUUUCUUUCUUACAUGAAGGAUAAUAUAUUAUACUCUUCUUAUUUUGCUUUUUUAUUUAACAGUGUAUUCUGGAAAUCAGUUCAUACCAAUUUUCAGAGAUCUUUCCCCUUUUUUGGCACAUCUGCAUAAUACUGCAUGUUCCAUGGUUUUCUCAAUGACUACUUAGGUUGUUUCUAAUAUUUUUCAAUAAGAAACAGUAUUGCAAUUAAUAAUCUAAUGCAUAUAUAUAUGUAUAUGAGAGGUCUUCAAAAAGUUCAUGGGAAACGUGUCUUAUGAAAAAACUAUGCAUGAGUUUUAAACUUUUUUGCGUCAAAAUAAACAUGUACUAACUUCUUAGAACAUGUCUGAACAGGUCCAAGUUUGAGGCACUAAGAAGGAUAAAGUAUCAAUUUGAAAAGAGCCCCUAUCAUAGCAAUAUGACUUGAAAGCACAAAGGAAGAAAAAAAUGAAGCAAGAACAAACAUCAAAUUUAUGAUGAAGUUUGCCUGCAAGAAUGGUGAAACCAUUGAUAUUUUAUAAGACAUUUAUAGGACAGUGUCCCAAAGGAAUCAGCAGUUUACAAAUGGAUAUAACCUGUUUUCAGAAGGGAGGAAGAUGAAGUUGAAGAUGAAGCAGUGGGCGACCAUUGAUAUCAAUUUAUGAGGAAAAAAAUUCAUUUUAUUCAUGCCCUAACUGAAGAGGACUGACAAUUAACAGCACAAACAAUAGUCAACAUCAUAGAUAUCUCAACUGGUUCAGCUUACCCAAUUCUGACCGAAAGUUAAAGUAGAGCAAACUUUCUACUUGGUGAGUGCCAAAACCCUCAUGCCCAGAUCAGCUGCAGACAGAAGCAGAGGUUUCAAUGGAAAUUCGAAACAAGUGGAAUCAAGAUCAUGAAGCAUUUCUUCAAAGAAUUGUAACAGGAGUUGAAAUAUGGCUUCACCAGUACAAUACUGAAGACUAAGCACAAUCAAAGCAAUAGCUACCAAGAGGCUGAAGUGGUCCCUUAAAGGCAAAAGGGGACCAGUCAAGAGCAAAGGUCAUGGCAACAGUAUUUUGGGAUGCCAAGACAUUUAGCUUGUUGACUUUCUGGAGGGCCAAAGUGUAGUAUUAUCUGUUUAUUAUGUUUUGAGAAAGUUGGUAGAAAAAUGCCUAGGAGAGCUUCACCAGAGUGUCCUCGAUUCAAUUUCAGAUCACCACAAUAAAGCAAAAAAUUGCAAUUAUAAAUUUUUUGGUUCCCCAGUACAUGUAAAAGUUAUAUUUAUACUAUAGCCUAUUAAGGGUGCAAUAGCAUUAUGUCUGAAAAAAAAAAUGAUCAUGGCUUCAUUUAAAAAUACUUUAUUACCAAACAAUGCUAGCAAUCAUCUGAACCUUCAGUGAGUUAUAAUCUUUUUGCUGGUGGAGGGUCUUGCUUAGAUGUUGGUGGCUGCAGAUUGAUCAGGGUGGUGGUUACUCUAGUUUGGGGUGGCUGUGGCAGGUUUUCAACAUAAGACAACAGCGAAGUUUGCUGCAUUGAUUGACUCUUCCUUUCAUGAAAGAUUUCUCUGUAGCAUGUAAUGCUGUUUGAUAGCAUUUUACCCACAGUAGAAUUUCUUUCAAAAUUAAAGUCAGUCUUCUUAAACCCUGUCACUGCUUUAUUAACUUAAGUUCUUGCAAUAUUCUAAAUCCUUUGUUGUCAUUUCAGCAACGUUCACAGCAUCUUUACCAGGGGUAGAUUCUGUCUCAAGAAACCACUUUGUUCAUUCAUCUGUUCAAGUUUUAUCAUGAGAUUGCAUCAAUUCAGUCAAAUUUUCAGCUCCACUUUUCAUUCUAGUUGUCUUGCUAUUUCUACCACAUCUGCAGUUACUAUAUCCGUUGAAGUCUUGAACCCCUCAAAAUCACCCAUGAGAGUUGGAUUCAAUUUCUUCCAAAUUCCUGUUCAUGUUGAUAUUUUGACCUCCUCUCAUGAAUCAUGAAUGUUUUUAGUGGCAUCUAAAAUGGUAAGUCCUUUCCAGAAGGUUUUCAAUUUGCUUUGCCCCAAUUCAUCAGAGGAAUCACUGUCUGUGGCAACUGUAGGCUUAUGAAAGGUAUUUGUUAAGUAAUAUGACUUGAAAGUCUAAAUGACUUCUUGAUCCAUAAGCUACAGAAUGGGUGUUGUGUUAGCAGGCAUGAAAACAACAUUCAUCUUGUGUAUCUCCAUCAGAGCUCUGGGUGACCAGGUGCAUUGUCAAUGGGCUGUAAUAUUUUGAAAGGAAUCUUUUUUUUUUCUGAGCAGUGAGUCUCAACAAUGGGCUUAAAAUAUUUAUUCAACCAUGCUAUAAACAGAUUUACUGUCAUCCGGGCUUUGAUGUUCCUUAUGCAGGCACAGGCAGAGUAGAUUUUGUAUUAUUCUUAAGGGACCUUGGAUUUUCAGAAUGGUAAGGGAACAUUGGUGUGAACAUAAGGUCACCAGCUGCAUUAGCCCCUAACAAGAGAGCCCCUAACUCUCCCUACCCACUCUGAGGAGCAGAGGUCUUCAAACCUCCACUGGUUCGGUGCUGCUGAUUCAUGAAUCGUUCUUUGCUCAAUUAAAUUGUUUACUUUGUCUAAGAAGGUUUCCCUUUGACAGGAUUUCUUUUGAUAGGAUUUAUUUUUGCUAUUUUAUUUCAUAUUUUACUUUUAUUGAAUUUUUGUUUCAUUUUUUAAAAGUCUCCUUUCCUUCUUUCUUUUGGUCAUUUUGAGUAUUCUGCCAGUUUAAAAGUUAAACAUUACACUUUUGUUCUCAUAAUAGUAACAGUUAAUUUGAAGCCUGCAAUACAGUGCUUUCAAGUCAAGAAUUUUUGCAUGUGAUUAUGUUCCUUAAUCUCCCACUUCCCUCAGCCCCCAUCAUGCUAAUAUUUUAGUUCUGGGUUGUUAUGGAAACAGUGAUUUUCCUUUUUUGAUUGUUAAAUUAAAACUUGGCCUGAGGCUGCCAUAGCUUAUAUCCCUAAGUAAGGAAAUAUAAACUGGUUUAGUAGGUAAAUAAACUGAAAGCCUAAUUAAGGACUGUUCUUUGUAACAAACAGCUGAGUGUCAGCUAAUCGGAGCAGCUGACCUUCAGCCAGUCACAGGCUUCCUGCUGAUCAGACCACAUCCAAAUACAGCAACACAAAGCUGAAACCAGUCCAACUGUUUCUGCACCUCACUUCCCUUUUCGAUCUAUCAACUCUCUCUACCCACUCUGAGGAACAGAGCUCUCAGAACCUCCACUGGUUCAGUGCUGCUGAUUCAUGAAUUGUCCUUUGCUCAAUUAAAUUGUUUAAUUUGUCUAAAAAGGUUUUCUUUUGACAGGUCCUAUAAUAAACUUUAGGUAUUCAGUUACCCAUAAUUUUCAUGUGUUUUGUAGAAAUAUCCUGGAUUUGCCGUUCUCUUAUCUAAACCUUCCUUCAAGGGUAUUUUCAACAUGUGGCAAAAUUUUGGAGAUGUAUGAAUGAGAAUGUUUUUAUUAUACUUUCACAUUUAAUGACAAUUUGGAUAAGACUUUUAGUAUUCAAUUUUCUUUUAAUUUUUUAAAAACAUUACACCAUUUUCCUCUUGUACCAUUUUUCUAUUGAGGAGUCCAUAAUCAGUCUGACUCUUAUUCCUUUGUUAGGCAGGAUGAUGAUAUAAUUUAUCAUUCAACUAGGACACUUUGGAGCGUGAAGGGGAUACUACUAAUAAUUAUGCCUGUCAGUAGGUGUAACCCAGGACUGUCCUGUGUACAUUAAGACAUGUGGUCCACUUACUUAUAGGUGUUCAGUUACCCUAUUUAUAGGUGACUAGUUCUUUCUCUCUGGAAGCUUUUAGAAUUUUAUUUGUGUUUGAUAUUCUUAGGUGUGGCUAUAAUACUUCUAGGUAUGGGCUUUUUUGUUUUUCUCUACUUGGCCCUCUGUGAUACUAUGAUUUAUAAUAGGAAAUGUAUAUUUGAUCUUCCUCCUUUAUCCUGGCAUGUAGCUCCUAAAACCCAUAUAAUCUCCAAAGUGAUGUGUCUACUUGUAUGCCAGUGAGAUGAAUGUGGGUUGGGGGCUCCUGGAUUGCCUCAGCAUGAGAGGGGGUUGCCAGGAUAACCCUUGUGUGAUUAGAGGGUUAGAACUUUCAGCCUUAGGCUACCCUCAGCCUUGGAGGGAAGAAGAGCUGGAGGUUGAGUCAAUCACAAUGGCCAGUGAUUGAAUCAAUCAUGUCUAGGUAAUGAAACCUCCAUACAAAAACAAAAAGGCCGGAUUCAGAGAGCUUCUGGGUUGAUCAACAAGAACCUAUCAGUGUACCAGGACAGUAGCACAACACAACUCCUUGGGGACAAGCUUUUCUGCUCAGGAAUUUCCAAUCCUGACCCUAUGUAUCCAUUCAUCUGCCUGUGCAUUUGUAUUCUUGAAAAUAUCCUUUGUGACAAGCAGGCACUGAUAAAUGUUAAACACAGUUUAUGGGAAGCCACUGUUUUAGACAAGCCUCCUACACUAGGCCCCAGCAAAGCAGACCAAACCAGAA
Molecule: long non-coding RNA, 6283 nt
Organism: Cebus imitator (Panamanian white-faced capuchin)
Lineage: Eukaryota; Metazoa; Chordata; Mammalia; Primates; Cebidae
Exons: 3
Source: RefSeq, a predicted model, not a curated record